AUUGAACGCUGGCGGCAGGCUUAACACAUGCAAGUCGAGCGGGGUGAUGGUGCUUGCACUAUCACUUAGCGGCGGACGGGUGAGUAAUGCUUAGGAAUCUGCCUAUUAGUGGGGGACAACAUCUCGAAAGGGAUGCUAAUACCGCAUACGUCCUACGGGAGAAAGCAGGGGAUCACUUGUGACCUUGAGCUAAUAGAUGAGCCUAAGUCGGAUUAGCUAGUUGGUGGGGUAAAGGCCUACCAAGGCGACGAUCUGUAGCGGGUCUGAGAGGAUGAUCCGCCACACUGGGACUGAGACACGGCCCAGACUCCUACGGGAGGCAGCAGUGGGGAGUAUUGGACAAUAGGGGGAACCCUGAUCCAGCCAUGCCGCGUGUGUGAAGAAGGCCUUAUGGUUGUAAAGCACUUUAAGCGAGGAGGAGGCUCUUUUGGUUAAUACCCAAGAUGAGUGGACGUUACUCGCAGAAUAAGCACCGGCUAACUCUGUGCCAGCAGCCGCCGUAA
Molecule: ribosomal RNA, 503 nt
Filed under: uncultured bacterium
Lineage: Bacteria
Description: partial 16S ribosomal RNA
Rfam family: Bacterial small subunit ribosomal RNA
Source: RNAcentral